RNAcentral lists this ribosomal RNA (615 nucleotides) under uncultured bacterium. RNAcentral describes it as "bacterial SSU rRNA". It matches the Rfam family "Bacterial small subunit ribosomal RNA", at positions 226 to 832 of the family's 1533-position model. The record is from RNAcentral.
UGAGUCCGCGUUUCAUUAGCUGGUUGGUGGGGUAAUGGCCUACCAAGGCGACGAUGAGUAGCUGGUCUGAGAGGAUGAUCAGCCACACUGGGACUGGAACACGGCCCAGACUCCUACGGGAGGCAGCAGUGGGGGAUAUUGGGCAAUGGGCGCAAGCCUGACCCAGCAACGCCGUGUGAGGGAAGAAGGUUUUCGGAUCGUAAACCUCUGUCAGAAGGGAAGAAGUGGCAGUUAUUUAAUAUAUAACUGCUUUGACGGUACCUUCAGAGGAAGCACCGGCUAACUCCGUGCCAGCAGCCGCGGUAAUACGGAGGGUGCAAGCGUUAUUCGGAAUCACUGGGCGUAAAGCGCGCGUAGGUUGCGUGGUAAGUCAGAUGUGAAAGCCCCCGGCUCAACCGGGGAACUGCAUUUGAAACUGCCAUGCUUGAGUACGACAGAGGGUGGCGGAAUUCCCGGUGUAGGAGUGAAAUCCGUAGAUAUCGGGAGGAACACCAGUGGCGAAGGCGGCCACCUGGGUCGAUACUGACGCUGAGGUGCGAAAGCGUGGGUAGCAAACAGGAUUAGAUACCCUGGUAGUCCACGCCGUAAACGAUGGAUACUAGGUGUCGGACAAGG